GGCUUCGGGCUCUUCUUGUGCAGCUUAGGUGGAAGGCAGUGACCUCUUUUUUCCGGAAAGGAGUGAGCCAUCAGUGAGAUACCACUCUGGAAGAGCUAGAAGUCUAAUGGCGAUCCUUGAAUCAGGACGCUUGACAGUUUCAGGCGGGCAGUUUUACUGGGGCGGUAGCCUCCCAAAAUGUAACGGAGGCGUGCAAAGGUUCCCUCAGGCUGGACGGAAAUCAGCUGUAGAGUGUAAAGGCGAAGGGAGCUUGACUGCAAGACCUACAAGUCGAGCAGGGACGAAAGUCGGUCUUAGUGAUCCGACGGUGCCGCGUGGAAGGGCCGUCGCUCAACGGAUAAAAGUUACUCUAGGGAUAACA
This 361-nucleotide ribosomal RNA is filed under the name uncultured eukaryote. RNAcentral's name for it is "LSU rRNA". It matches the Rfam family "Bacterial large subunit ribosomal RNA", at positions 2119 to 2479 of the family's 2925-position model. The record is from RNAcentral.